Molecule: long non-coding RNA, 814 nt
Filed under: Homo sapiens (human)
Lineage: Eukaryota; Metazoa; Chordata; Mammalia; Primates; Hominidae
Description: HSALNT0037668
Source: RNAcentral
GUUGAAUCCACGGAUGUUUGGAUCCAGCCCCUGGAUACGGAGGGCUGACUUUAAUCUUCCCCCAUCCUUAAGUAUCCUGUGAAGUUAUAAAUGAUGUGUGCCAUGUCUUACACCAGCAACUGUGCCCCCUUGGCCUGGGCACAUGUGGCAACUGUCCAUGCAUCAUGUUGUUUAGGAGUCUUUUUUCCAGAGCUGAUGAUAACAAGACAGUUUCCUCUGCAGCUUCUUUCACCUGGCAUCUAUUUCACAGAGGAGGGAGAGGAGGGAAGGAAAUUGUAAUUCACAGUGAUGUUAUCAGCCAGCACCAUGCCUGGGAGAUCACCAGUGCAGGAGAGGUAUAAAAUGCUCCAGGGGCAAGGUUCUGAGAAGAUGCCCUGCCACUGUAUGAGGCCACAACCUGCUGUGUAUAACCUCAUCUAAGCACAGAGAAGCACCAGGAAGACUGAGCGUGGGAAAUGAUAAAGCAAACUGUGGACUUGAAUGAAAGACAUACAGGUAUUCUUUGUAUUUUUAUAGUUAGCUUCUGAGUCUGAAAUUAUUUCCCAAAUAAAAAGUUAAAAACAAAUCUCUACUGAACAAUGUACAUCUUCCAAGAGAUUUCCUUGUAGCUAAACUACUGAUAAGCUUAGGUUCAUAAAAGUCUAUCUAGCAUCCAGUGACUAAGGUCAAUACCUGGUUAUAGUGAGUUUCACAAUACGCCAGGCCUUUCCUCUCAUAAUGGCGAUGUCCAAGAAAGGGUUUCUCACACUUGGCACAAACAAAAUGCUGAAAAAAAAUUGCUAUAGGUCAUUUUUGAAUUGCCAUAUUUUAUAUC